AGGGGCUACCGGGCAAGCAGAUCUAGGAUCCAAAGUGUUCUUGAGAAGUAAGAAAUCAGAGCAGACUGAGAGAGACUCGCAGAAAAAACAGAGUUGUCUGAGGAAGCCUGGAUCAGAAGUCCUAUAGUGGAGAAGAGAGUGAUUUAAAGGAAAACUUCCAAUACCUCCAGUGGCUGUGGAAGUGCUCAUCUGAACAAGUGACCUCGCCCCCAAGCCGAGCCCUCUCAGGCUGCCUUUCCUGUUCUUUCC
This is a long non-coding RNA of Echinops telfairi (small Madagascar hedgehog), 249 nucleotides long. RefSeq lists it as uncharacterized. The record is from RefSeq and is a predicted model, not a curated record. The transcript is spliced from 3 exons. NCBI's taxonomy places the organism in Eukaryota, Metazoa, Chordata, Mammalia, Afrosoricida, Tenrecidae.